AACGAACGCUGGCGGCAGGCUUAACACAUGCAAGUCGAGCGCAUCCUUCGGGGUGAGCGGCAGACGGGUGAGUAACGCGUGGGAAUCUACCUUUUGCUACGGAAUAGCUCCGGGAAACUGGAAUUAAUACCGUAUGUGCCCUUAGGGGGAAAGAUUUAUCGGCAAGAGAUGAGCCCGCGUUGGAUUAGCUAGUUGGUGGGGUAAAGGCCUACCAAGGCGACGAUCCAUAGCUGGUCUGAGAGGAUGAUCAGCCACAUUGGGACUGAGACACGGCCCAAACUCCUACGGGAGGCAGCAGUGGGGAAUAUUGGACAAUGGGCGCAAGCCUGAUCCAGCCAUGCCGCGUGAGUGAUGAAGGCCUUAGGGUUGUAAAGCUCUUUCACCGGAGAAGAUAAUGACGGUACCCGGAGAAGAAGCCCCGGCUAACUUCGUG
Molecule: ribosomal RNA, 433 nt
Filed under: uncultured bacterium
Lineage: Bacteria
Description: partial 16S ribosomal RNA
Rfam family: Bacterial small subunit ribosomal RNA
Source: RNAcentral